RNAcentral lists this ribosomal RNA (1225 nucleotides) under Candidatus Phytoplasma cynodontis. RNAcentral describes it as "bacterial SSU rRNA". It matches the Rfam family "Bacterial small subunit ribosomal RNA", at positions 152 to 1377 of the family's 1533-position model. RNAcentral also lists the same sequence under 1 other name. Lineage: Bacteria; Bacillati; Mycoplasmatota; Mollicutes; Acholeplasmatales; Acholeplasmataceae. The record is from RNAcentral.
GGAAACAGUUGCUAAGACUGGAUAGGAAAUUAGAAGGCAUCUUUUAAUUUUUAAAAGACCUUUUUCGAAAGGUAUACUUAAAGAGGGGCUUGCGGCACAUUAGUUAGUUGGUAGGGUAAAAGCCUACCAAGACCAUGAUGUGUAGCUGGACUGAGAGGUUGAACAGCCACAUUGGGACUGAGACACGGCCCAAACUCCUACGGGAGGCAGCAGUAGGGAAUUUUCGGCAAUGGAGGAAACUCUGACCGAGCAACGCCGCGUGAACGAUGAAGUAUUUCGGUAUGUAAAGUUCUUUUAUUGGAGAAGAAAAAAUAGUGGAAAAACUAUCUUGACGAUAUUCAAUGAAUAAGCCCCGGCAAACUAUGUGCCAGCAGCCGCGGUAAUACAUAGGGGGCGAGCGUUAUCCGGAAUUAUUGGGCGUAAAGGGUGCGUAGGCGGUUUGGUAAGUCUAUAGUUUAAUUUCAGUGCUUAACACUGUUCUGCUAUAGAAACUAUCAGACUAGAGUGAGAUAGAGGCAAGUGGAAUUCCAUGUGUAGCGGUAAAAUGCGUAAAUAUAUGGAGGAACACCAGAGGCGUAGGCGGCUUGCUGGGUCUUUACUGACGCUGAGGCACGAAAGCGUGGGGAGCAAACAGGAUUAGAUACCCUGGUAGUCCACGCCGUAAACGAUGAGUACUAAGUGUCGGGGAAACUCGGUACUGAAGUUAACACAUUAAGUACUCCGCCUGAGUAGUACGUACGCAAGUAUGAAACUUAAAGGAAUUGACGGGACUCCGCACAAGCGGUGGAUCAUGUUGUUUAAUUCGAAGAUACACGAAAAACCUUACCAGGUCUUGACAUACUCUGCAAAGCUAUAGCAAUAUAGCGGAGGUUAUCAGGGAUACAGGUGGUGCAUGGUUGUCGUCAGCUCGUGUCGUGAGAUGUUAGGUUAAGUCCUAAAACGAGCGCAACCCUUGUCACUAGUUGCCAGCAUGUUAUGAUGGGCACUUUAGUGAGACUGCCAAUGAAAAAUUGGAGGAAGGUGAGGAUCACGUCAAAUCAUCAUGCCCCUUAUGAUCUGGGCUACAAACGUGAUACAAUGGCUGUUACAAAGAGUAGCUAAAACGCGAGUUUAUAGCCAAUCUCAUAAAAGCAGUCUCAGUUCGGAUUGAAGUCUGCAACUCGACUUCAUGAAGUUGGAACGCUAGUAAUCGCGAAUCAGCAUGUCGCGGUGAAUACGUUCUCGG